Strigops habroptila (Kakapo) is the source of this 5169-nucleotide long non-coding RNA. RefSeq lists it as uncharacterized. The record is from RefSeq and is a predicted model, not a curated record. The transcript is spliced from 6 exons. Lineage: Eukaryota; Metazoa; Chordata; Aves; Psittaciformes; Psittacidae.
CAAAGAGAGAAAGGAAAGCCAGUUCCAAGCCUUUUCCUUCAGCUUCUGCCACCUUUUGCUUCCCGCUGGACCAUGAAGUAUUGAACAGGCAUUUUCCAGAAGUCAAACAGCGUGUUAGUUCAAGCACAAUCAGACAGCAGUGACAUCUACAGCAUAUGCAGCAGGGAGCUCGGCGCUGAGAUCGCUCGGGCUCCAGCACGGGUUUUAUGUCACGAUCAGAAACGGGCAGCGCUCUUCGCAAGAGCUAUAUAAAUCCAGCCCCGAUGUUCGGCCGUGCAUCUCCUUCCCUUGCCGAGGAUGUUAAACAGGAGGUCUCCUUUCCCCCCGGCUCGGACACACCGGAGGGUCCCCCCGAUCGUCACUGCUCGCCUCCCGCCCGGGCUCGGGUGCUGGUUUACCGUGUGCCUGGCUGUAGGAGACUCUGGCCCGGGCAUGGGCAGAAUUGGCGUAGUAGGGAUUGCCCUGGGAGUCCAGGUGGUUGAAGAAGACAUCGACUUCAUCCGGAGGUAGGAGCUGCGCUGGUUCCAUGUAGUUGUGAGCCAGUCCGGGGUGGUGGCUCUCGGGGUGCUGCCCGUUGAGCACGGCGUGGUGGGCCAUCCAGCGAGGCUGGUCCGUGGCCACCUCCAUGGCCGCGGGCCUCCCCUCCCACCCAGCCCCGGAGCAGGAGCGGGCCGGUGCUGCUCGGGGGAGGGGGGGGCUGGCGCUGCUGGUGGGGUUUAGGAGGUGGGGUGGCUUUUCUUAAGAAGACGGCCGUGUGGCUGGCGUGGGCCCUGGGAAGGGUGGGGGAGCCCCCUGGAGUCACCGUGUCCCUCCUCUGUCCAGGCGGGCGGUGGCAGGUCCGGGCAGCACCUGUAGGGACAGACGGACGGGUGAGGGGCUCUGGAGCGCUGCACCGGGCGAUACAUGGAUGGGGAGGGAGAAGCAGAGCCCCUCCCCCCUUCCAAAAAUAUCCUCUCCCCCAAAGUCUCGCCUUGCGCCCUCCCUGCUCAUUGCCCCACAGAAUAAACAGAGAUCCCAUUUCAAACUCUUUACCCAAAAAAAAGAAAAAGCAAAAAGCUUCCUUCCCCCCCCCCACCCCCGCUCUCGCUACAAACGUCAACAGGAGUUUUCCCAGCUGGCUUCAAAAGCGGGGUGAAAAAGGAAGAAAGGCAGAUCCAAUACAGAGUAGUGCUAGCAAGAACUGGGACUGACACAAAAGGAAAAGGAGGGGGAGAAAGAAGGGGGGAGAAGGCGAAGAGGAGGGAGGAGAAGGGUGUUUAGUGAAAGCAGCGAGUGCGCCCUGGCAGCGGCCCCCCCGCGCCCCGCACUUACCGGCUGGCGGUGGGAGCCGGCGUUGAGACCGCGAGUGCGGCGGAGAGGGGAGGAAGGAGGGGAAAAAAGGGGGGAGGGGGGGGAAUUAAAAAUAAUAGAAGCCCCAAGCGCGGGGGGAGCGGAGGAGGCUGCUGCAGGGUGUUACUCAGAUGGCAAAGCCGCUGCUCUGGCCGGCGCGGUCCCAUCCCCGCGCAUCCUAUAUGAGCGCUGGCGCCAGCUGGCCGCGGCGCCGCAGACGGGCCGGGGCGCGCAGGGCCGGCGGGGCGGCCGGGACAGCCAAUCCCGGCAGCCGAUCCCGCCGAUCCCGCCGCCCCACACCGCCCCCAGCCGCACCCCCGGCCCGAACGGAGCCGGCCCGGGGAGGGGGGAGCAGCGCGUACCCCCCUCCUCCGCCCCCCGCCCCCCCGCAGCAUCCUCCGGCAGCGCCGAGGGGGCUUUCCCUGCCCGGGCGCUGCACGCCCCUGCGGGGCGGGGACGGAGAAAUGGGGGGGUCCCGCCGGGGUGUGCGGGGAUGCAGAGGGGCAUGGGCCCACCCUGUGGUGGAGGGGAACCGGGGCGGGCGAUGGGGCCGGCUCCGCCGGGUGCUGUCCCCGACGGUGGCUCCCAGCGCCGCCGCCGGGAUGCCCGGGGCGAGGGGGUUGGAAGUCGGCACCGGGGAGAUGAACACGUUAAAAUUCCCUUAAAGCAAGCUCAGCAGCGCGCAGCCGGGAGCGAGACUAACCCCAGCGUGGUUGUUCCCAUCAUGUUAGUUUGAAAUAACUGUCUGAAUCGGAAUAUAAAUAAAUUAAAACCAAAUAAUUGCGCGGCUCAGCGGAGCCCGGCAGGGUGAGGAGGGGCAGCGGGGCCGCGCCGGGCAGGCGGCGGCGAAGGGACGGGUCCUGCCCGGCUCCCUCUCGACUCCCCGGGCGGCAGCGCUGGGGCCGGGCCCAGCUGGGGCUCGCUGGAGGCUGCGGCAGCGGGAAGCCGAGCCGGGCCGGGGUCCGGCUGCGGCCUCCCCGAGGGUCUGCGGCACCGCAACCCCGCGUGCUUCCCUUCUCCCCUUAAAAAUAAAAUUAAAUAAAAUUAAAAGAAACAAAAAAAACCAAGAAACCACCACCACCAAAACCCUCCAAAGACACAGUUUUAAUAUUCGCAGUUACUCGUGAGCCGGGGCAGAGGCACAGCCCGGAUCAACAGGCGUUUUCCGCGGAGUUCGCGGCGCAGCUCGGGCUCUGCCACCCCCGAAGAUGCGGACAAACCCAUCCGCUUUGGGGUUGGAAAAUAAUAAUAAUAAUAAUGAUAAUAAUAACAAUGAGAAAGUCAGAGAUUGCCCGCGCCCCGGAGCGCGGCCGCGCGCUGUGCGGGUCCCGUUCCCCGGCGCUGCCCUCCCGCGCCUCCGCCGCCGCUUUCGGGGAAAAAGGGAACCGCUCGUCCCGACCCCGUAAAGCUCGGAGCUGGACUCGGGUCGAGGAAACUGCCCUUCGCCCGGGAGCGGGCAGGGGGGAGCCGAGCGCGGCCCCUCCGCCCCCCGGCAGCGGCUCCAGCCCGACGGUGCGACCGGGGAGGGGGCGCGGGAGCCGGUCGGGGCCGGGCCGGGGCCCAGCGGGGUGGCGAGGAGGAGGAGGAGGAUGGUGCCGGUGCUGCCCCGGCCGCCCCAGUCACCACGACGCCGGGGCUCUGACGUCACCCGUCACUGCCAAAUUCGCCAGGAAAUGAACUUUUUUUUUCUUUUUAAUAAUAACAAUAAUAAUAAUAAUGAUGACGGUAAUAAUAAUAAAACUCCCUUUCCUUGCUGCGGAGCCCGUCUGGCCGAAGCGACGCGGGGCUCCCUCCAUAGCUAUUCCCCCACCACCAUUACCCGUUGUCCCCAGCAAACCUCCCCCCGGGGCACCCUCAGCGCAGCCCCCGGUGUGGCGACCGGCAGCGCGGCCCGGGCUGGGGUCUGCGGAGGCUGGGGCAGGGGGAGCCGGCAUUGCUUUCCCCCUCCCCGCAUCCUUUCCUCCUGCACCCGAAGCGCCGGGCUCCCCGCGGCCCUUGCCCUCGUGGCUCGGCGGUGCCCCUCGCCCCCCGCCGCUGGGGGGGUGCCAAGCGGCGGCCCCGGGCGGCAGCUCCUCCGUUGGCUGCCGGGCGCGGAAGAGGCGGCGGAGCCGGCUUCUCUCGGGCCGGGCUGGGUGGCCAGGGCAGGCCGGGGCUGGGGGGUGCCCGGGCACCCAGGGCCGGAGGUGCCAGGGAGGAAAGGGAAACAAAGCAAAUAAAAAAAAAAAAAAAAAAGAAAGAAAAAGGAAAGUUAAAAGACAGCGAGAGAACCCGGGAGCUUUCGAAAAAUCCGGCUUCACCCUCAGAAGCGAUUUUCUCUCUACACGCACCAAAACCACCACCCCCAACCGACCCAAAUAUCCCCCCAAACGGAUUGUAUUCUUUUUUAUUUUCCGAAGGAAGGGUGAGUAUAAACUGAACGCGGCCGGUUGCAGGUCGGUCCCCUCGGCGCCUCGUUGUCCCCGCAGCCCGGGGGCUGCCGGAGCCGGGGCGCGCCGUGCCUGCGAUCCCUCCUGGAACAGCCGGGAUAACCCCGGAUCACUCCGGGCCCGGCCGGAGAGGACCCAGCGCCUCUCUACGCCCUUAUUAAUCAAUAUGGCUGUUUAAUUACUGCCCGCUGCCACCAGCACGGGGCCACGCUAGCUUUUUUCUUGGGGGGGGGGGAAACGGGGUGGGCUGUUUGUUUUAGGCAGGUGAUAAAAUCGCAGUUAACGAGCUGAUAAUUCGUUCGUGUUUGUUUUAAAAGACAAAUUGUAAAGAUUAAUCAGGCGGUUUGAUUUAUGGCGAGGCAGACCCCGGCGCUGCCCGGCCGGGGCUCCCUGAAGCCCCCGUCUCGGGUUACCGGGGGCCGAAGCGAAACAAAAGGGGCGAACAAGCGGCGGCGGCGGCUCCUGGGGCCGGGUCCCCCCAUCCCCUGGCCGGGAUCCGACACCCCUUCUCACACCCCCCUCCCUCUCUAUACCCCUUUGUAACUGGACGACCCCUUCAUCAGGGAUGAACGAUUUCAGCUGAGGGAGCGGUUGAAUGCCCGCGGGAGGUUUCCCUCCAGCCGCCUCCCAGGAUUUCACUUGAUUUUAUUUGGCUGAUUUUAUCCCGGCCCCGCUGCCUGCGUUUGGCGAACUGGCCGCCGCUGCGGGCUCGGCCGCUAAUGCCCCGGCGGCGGCAGGGCUGGCGGUUAAUUGAAUUAAUUCCCCAUCGGGAGCAGCAGCAGCUCCGCACUCGCGUCCCGGUGAGCAGCUCCCCCGCAACCCUCUGGGGAGGGAGAGGGUCCGGCCAUUAACUCCGGUUUAUUAACUUCAUUUUGUUAUUCCCGUUGCAUUUCUUUUUUCUGUUUUAAUCAGGAGCUUUCCCAGCUCUGGAAGCACAACUGGUUAUUUUGAUUUGAUUGACAAGUGAUGUCAUAUCGUUAAGGGAGAGGGGGGAGAAGACAACAUGUUUUAGCAACAGUUAGGAGCGCCGUGUGAUGGAGUUGACACCUACGCCGGGGCAGAGGCGAAGGCAGAACCCCUCUUCCCCCGUCCACGCAUACGGAUCUUUCGGGCUAUGCACCUGCACGUAGGAGAGGCAGCGGAGAAGCUGGAAGAGGCGCAAACAGAUAUUUCGCGACGAGUCGUUGUUGUAGCUAGGAAAGAAACGGUAAAACACACAUAGGAAAAACAGCUAGAACGAAUGGUUUUGGAAACGUUUGCGCGCCCCAGCCCCAGCUCGGCAGUCUUCACCUGACGGGUAUUUUGCUUCUGGAAGAGGGAGACGUUGCCGCCAGCCGCGCCCUGGGAUCGCCCCUGCUCGGAACGACUCUAAACUGAGGGACCGUCUCUCGGGCAGAAAAACUACUGGAAAAGC